Molecule: ribosomal RNA, 949 nt
Filed under: Veluticeps africana
Lineage: Eukaryota; Fungi; Basidiomycota; Agaricomycetes; Gloeophyllales; Gloeophyllaceae
Description: eukaryotic LSU rRNA
Rfam family: Eukaryotic large subunit ribosomal RNA
Source: RNAcentral
CUCUUGACAUUUGACCUCAAAUCAGGUAGGGUUACCCGCUGAACUUAAGCAUAUCAAUAAGCGGAGGAAAAGAAACUAACAAGGAUUCCCCUAGUAACUGCGAGUGAAGCGGGAAAAGCUCAAAUUUAAAAUCUGGCAGCUUUGCUGUCCGAGUUGUAUUCUGGAGAAGUGCUUUCCGCGCCGGACCGUGUAUAAGUCUCUUGGAACAGAGCGUCGUAGAGGGUGAGAAUCCCGUCUUUGACACGGACUACCAGUGCUUUGUGAUGCGCUCUCAAAGAGUCGAGUUGUUUGGGAAUGCAGCUCAAAAUGGGUGGUAAAUUCCAUCUAAAGCUAAAUAUUGGCGAGAGACCGAUAGCGAACAAGUACCGUGAGGGAAAGAUGAAAAGCACUUUGGAAAGAGAGUUAAACAGUACGUGAAAUUGUUGAAAGGGAAACGCUUGAAGUCAGUCGCGUCUGCCGGAACUCAGCCUUGCUUGCCGCUUGGUGUAUUUUCCGAUUGACGGGCCAGCAUCGAUUUUGACUGCCGGACAAGGGUUUGCGGAAUGUGGCAUCUUCGGGUGUGUUAUAGCCGCGAGUCGUAUACGGCAGUUGGGAUCGAGGACCGCAUUUUGAGGAUGCUGGCGUAAUGGCUUUAAGCGACCCGUCUUGAAACACGGACCAAGGAGUCUAACAUGCCCGCGAGUGUUUGGGUGGAAAACCCGAGCGCGUAAUGAAAGUGAAAGUUGAGACCUCUGUCGUGGAGGGCAUCGACGCCCGGACCUGAUCUUCGGUGACGGAUCUGAGGUAGAGCGUGUAUGUUGGGACCCGAAAGAUGGUGAACUAUGCCUGAAUAGGGUGAAGCCAGAGGAAACUCUGGUGGAGGCUCGUAGCGAUUCUGACGUGCAAAUCGAUCGUCAAAUUUGGGUAUAGGGGCGAAAGACUAAUCGAACCAUCUAGUAGCUGGUUCCUG